RNA transcript from Fragaria vesca subsp. vesca, 387 nucleotides. RefSeq lists it as uncharacterized. The transcript is spliced from 2 exons. Lineage: Eukaryota; Viridiplantae; Streptophyta; Magnoliopsida; Rosales; Rosaceae. The record is from RefSeq and is a predicted model, not a curated record.
AAGUAUGUUUUGGAAAUGAGUGGGAUGAUUCAUACUCUCUCUCUCUCUCUGUGCUGCUGCCCAGUUCAAAGUUGAGCAGGCAAACCCAGACAGACCGAAACCCAAAAUUCACAAUCCUCCACUCAAGUAUCCCAAGUUAAUACACAAACCUUACCUUAGCCGUAGGUGGAGUUUGCAUAGAAAAUGAGUCAGGCAGCAAUAAUGGGUAGUGCAGUAGUACUAAGCAAAGCCAAUGCCACCUUGAAUUGGUGCGUCAACGCCUUUCUUCCAAGAUACCCUCCUCCACCUCCUAUUAUAUCUCUCCUUUCUUCCACUCCCACACUCUCUCGCUCUCUUCUCUCUACUAAAAGAUUCUCAACCAUGGAUGAUUCUAAAGCUAGCCCAACG